Molecule: ribosomal RNA, 440 nt
Filed under: uncultured bacterium
Lineage: Bacteria
Description: partial 16S ribosomal RNA
Rfam family: Bacterial small subunit ribosomal RNA
Source: RNAcentral
CCUACGGGUGGCUGCAGUGGGGGAUAUUGCACAAUGGGCGAAACCCUGAUGCAGCAACGCCGCGUGUGGGAAGAAGGUUUUCGGAUUGUAAACCCCUGUUCUUGGUGAAGAUAAUGACGGUAACCAAGGAGAAACCUCCGGCUAACUACGUGCCAGCAGCCGCGGUCAUACGUAGGGAGGACGCGUUGUCCGGAUUUACUGGGUGUAAAGGGUGCGUAGGCGGGCUUGCAAGGCAGACGGGAAAACCACGGGCUCAACCCGUGGACUGCGUUUGAAACUGGGGGGCGUGAGUGAAGUAGAGGUAGGCGGAAUUCCCGGUGUAGCGGUGAAAUGCGUAGAGAUCGGGAGGAACACCAGUGGCGAAGGCAGCCUACUGGGGUUUAACUGACGCUGAGGCACGAAAGCAUGGGUAGCAAACAGGAUUAGAUACCCGUGUAGUC